Molecule: ribosomal RNA, 254 nt
Filed under: uncultured bacterium
Lineage: Bacteria
Description: partial 16S ribosomal RNA
Rfam family: Bacterial small subunit ribosomal RNA
Source: RNAcentral
UACGGGGGGAGCAAGCGUUGUUCGGAUUUACUGGGCGUAAAGGGCGCGUAGGCGGUCGUGACAAGUCACUUGUGAAAUCUCCGGGCUUAACUCGGAACGGUCAAGUGAUACUGUCGGACUAGAGUACAGAAGGGGCAACUGGAAUUCUCGGUGUAGCGGUGAAAUGCGUAGAUAUCGAGAGGAACACCUGCGGCGAAGGCGGGUUGCUGGGCUGAUACUGACGCUGAGGGACGAAAGCUAGGGGAGCGAAAGGG